Nicotiana tabacum (common tobacco) is the source of this 3240-nucleotide long non-coding RNA. RefSeq lists it as uncharacterized. The record is from RefSeq and is a predicted model, not a curated record. NCBI's taxonomy places the organism in Eukaryota, Viridiplantae, Streptophyta, Magnoliopsida, Solanales, Solanaceae.
UCCUUCUCUUUCCCAUUUCUUCCCCCAAUUUGCAUAACCCUAGUUUAUAAUCCAUCUGUAGCAGAAUUAAUUAUUAGGAAGUAACAAUGCUCUUAAGGCGCAACACCGGAAGAGAAUCACCUCGGUUUUAUGAUUCGAUAACCGAGGCUUCGUUUGUCACUGUGAAAAUAUAUCAUGGGGGAUUUAUGAAGCGUAUACCAGAGAAGCACUAUGUUGGAGGAAACAUAGAUUACAUUGAUUAUGUAAAUGUCGCAAAAUUGAAUAUUGCUGAGUUCAAGAAGAUGACAGAGAUAUGUGGUUAUUUGAGUGAUUCGAUAACUUUUUGGCGCAAGUGUGAAAAGCCUGGUAGUAUAUGGAAGUUGAUCUCUACGGAUUUUGAAGCCUCUGCAGUUGGUAAAAGCAUCCAAAAUGACAAUGUGCUUGAGAUAUACUUUGAACACUUGAACUCUUAUUUUCAAAUAGACAAAGUGGAUUCAAUAAUUCAAUAAAAUAUUAAAGAAAAUAACAAGCUACAACUUAUGUGUGAAAAUUCAUCUUGUGAUGAUUUUAGUGAUUCAGAAGUUGAUUUAUCAGAUGAUGUGUUGAUUGAUUCACAUGAGAAGAGGAACCAAAGCAUUUUGGAAGAGAGGGGGCUCCUUAGCGACAAAAUAAAAAGAAAGAUGGUUGACAUAGAAGGGGAUCUUGAUUGUAUUGAUUCUGAAGACAUGCAGAGUUUGGAUAGUGAUUCUGAAACUGAAAGUUUUAACUUUCCUCGGUUCAAUCCAAAGACCGAUGUAGAUAACCCAGUAUUAGGUUUAGAAUAUACCUUUGGGACAAAGCAGGAAUUUAAGAAUGCUGUAGCAACUCAUGCGAUUAAGAAUGGAAAGUAUAUCCAGUGGAAUAGGAACGAUGGUGUAAGCAUGGAGGCACGUUGCUAACAUCAUCCAGAGUGCAAAUGGAAAAUCAUGGCUUCUAGAAUGCAAAGAGACAAGGCUUUCCAGAUUAAAACUUACAAUCCCAUACAUACUUGUAAGGAGUGGCAUCAUGAAAAUAGAACGAUCACUUCAUCCUUUAUUGCAAGAAGAUACCUCAAAGAAAUUGGAUCAAAUCGGGAUUGGAAAGUUAGAUAUUGAUGCUGCUGCUUGGUUAUCUGGUAAAGAUCCUAGUGAAUAGUCUAUGUCGCAUUUCUCUUCAGAUGCUAAGUGUGACACCUUACUAAAUAAUUUGUGUGAAGUAUUUAAUAGCAUGAUACUUGAUGCUCGGGAUAAGCCAAUUGUGACACUUUUGGAGAAAUUACGAUAUAUGCUCAUGGCGAGAAUGCUAGCUAAUAGGGAAAAGGCUGAGAAAUGGAAUUUGGGUGAUAUUUGUCCUAAGAUCAAGGAUAUAUUACACAAAAAUCAGAUUGCAGCUGUUGAAUAUAUACCGAGAAAAUCAAAUUACUGGAGCUAUGAAAUUUUAGGAGCUACAGUUACGGACAAUUGGGCAGUUGACUUGCAGAAUAAAUCUUGUAGUUGUAGAAAAUGGAGUCUCACGGGAAUCCCUUGCAAGCAUGCUAUUGCAGCAAUUUGGGCUAAGAAGGAUAACAUUCUUGACUAUGUCCAUGAUUGUUACAAGGUGAAAACAUAUAGAAGAAUUUAUGAAAACUCAAUUCUUCCAAUGAAUGGGCCACAACUAUGGCCUAAGUCAAGUAAAGUUCCUCCCCUGCCUCCAAAGAUUGUGAGAAAUAGUAAGAGAGGAAGAAAGCAAAAGUUGCGAUAAAAGGAACAAGAUGAAGUUGGUGCUAGUCGAACAAAGAUGAAACGAAAGCAAAAAUCUCUAGAUUGUAGUAUAUGUCACAAGCCUGGCCACAACAAAAGGACUUGCAAGUAUAAUAUUGUAGAAGAAGAAACUAACUCUUCAGUUCGUCAGAAACUACAUGUUAGAAGAGGAUAUGAUGAAGUGGGUCAUGGAGAAGUGGAACAUGAGCAAAAUGGGACUGGUCGAAGUAGAAAUUGGACCAGAAUUUAUUUGGGAAAGUUUUCAAUAUACACAAAAAAAUGACAUGCCUUUUGAAGUUUAACAGAUUUUUUGGGGUGCUUGAAUGUUGCUGAUUUUUAAGGUGGUGCAGGAAUUUUUAUUGCUGUUCUGGUUUUGUAAGAUCUGCAAGAGGCGGACCUACCUUAAGGUUAGGGGGUCACCGGAAUCCGUUAGCCUCGAAAAAAAUACUUUAUAUAUAUUGGGACCCGUUAAAUAAUUUAUCUGGCCCCCUCGAUAAACAAAAGCAAGGCAGACGCGUUGGUUUUGUAGCUUGCUCAAGCACUUAAUUACUUGACGGAUCCGGGUUAGAAACCUGUCUCCUGCUCUUCCUUUUUAAAAUUACUUAGGUCAACUGAUUUUUUAUUUUAUUUUUUUGAAUUCUUUAAUACUUGUACACAAUAGUUAACAUGAAGUCUUUUAACUUUUAUCCUUUUCCAAACUAAAAAACAAAACCAACGCCUCCUCCUUUCUCCAAACGGACGCCUAAACCCUUUUGCUUAAAAACAACCCCCUUUUCAAUUAACCCUUUUCCGCUUCUGUUCGAGCUCAAAUCCGGCAACUAGCAGUCCGAAUCGGCGGCGGCUAUUGGAUCGAGGCUCUUCUUCAACUGAAAUAAAAAGAAAAAUGGCAAGAGGGUUGAUAUGGGCUACUGCAGAAGACUUGGCAAAGAAUAGAGAAAGAGUUCUGUCUUUGUAUAGGCAAAUCUUGAGGAGCCUUAACUCACCGGCUUUGCCACUCAACUUAGCAGCUAGGCUUCAAAAGAAAGCUGAGGUCCGUGCCAUGUUCAUGUUGGGUUCCGAGGAACGAUCCCUUCACAACAUUCAAGAUCUUAUUUAUGCUGCUGAAUACUCUCUUUCCCAAUUAAGAAAAGGAGAAGUUCCAAAACACAUUCAAGUUUAUCAAUAAGUCAGGCCAAUUUUCUUGUUUGACCCAGCUUAUAUUGAUAUCUGUUGCAACUUAAAGUCUUGUUGAAGAUUUCACUCGAGCUGCAUGGGUGUUAAGCUUCUCCCAAGUGGAAUCAGCAUAUCCUGUAAAUUGUUAGUCGAAAUAGAUGGCUGACCAUUGAUGGAGGGAGAUGAUCUUGACAUUAUUCCUCUAGAGUCCAUUUACGCGAGGAUAGCAGUGUGCUACUAAAUUAUUAUAUCACCUUUUGUCCCCUUCAGUAGUUGAAAUUACUGAGAUAGAGUAUAACAUUCCUUGUUCCUGCAGAUGUUUACAUAUGAGAAAACAAAGUGAAAUCUCAUA